This is a long non-coding RNA of Solanum tuberosum (potato), 887 nucleotides long. RefSeq lists it as uncharacterized. Lineage: Eukaryota; Viridiplantae; Streptophyta; Magnoliopsida; Solanales; Solanaceae. The transcript has 3 exons. The record is from RefSeq and is a predicted model, not a curated record.
CUGGAAGUAUCCAUUCCUCUCUAGAAGUAUCGGUUUCUCUUUCUUCUCCCAAGAGAACAAAUAAACAGACGCUAAUAACUUAUAAAACUCGACGGACGACGGAAAACAACAAUUUUCUCUUCGUCUUCUCUUCAUCCCUGUGACUCCAGAUAGUUCAUCUUCCUGGUAUAUCAAGUGUGUUUAGUCUUCUGACCUUCCAAUUUUAGAGUAAAAAAUUGACAUACUACUUCAACAUUUCUGCCGCAACAUAUUAUUAUCCAUCAUUUCUAGACGACAUUUCACUCUGAAAAUCUAUGGAGACACCCUAACACACCAAUACAGCAGGGACAUAACAACAAUUAUGCCCAAGUCUCAAACAAGUAAGGUCGGCUAUAUGAAUCCUCAUUAACCACGUUAGAAAAUAACAAUAUUACGGUGUGUUGAAAGCUAUGUUGCAUUGGCUCUUCACUUUGAAUGUCGCACACAUGUCGGAUUUUACAAAAAUAUACUACAUUUGGAGAAUUUAACAUGCGCCCACCGACAUUUUUGAAGAGUUCAAUCAACAUAGUUUGAAAGUACAUUGUUGCAAAAGGCGCACUUUCUUUUUUUCUUAAUGUUGCAUGAAUCAGGAAGUGAUUUUUCGGGCAGUGAAAUUCCCAAUUGAUAUAGUGUUGUCAUAGAAACCUUGCAACUUUGUUCUUUGGUUCCAGUACAUGGAUUUCACAAUAAUUCUUGUUUGCUAUUCUCUAAUUAUCCAUUAUUUAGACUUAAAUGGAACAAAAGAACUAUGUGUUGUUUGUUACUAUUCUAAUUCCAUAUUCUCUACUGCAUUACUAUUUAAAUCAGCCUUACAUUUUUAGCAUUUUUAAAUUUUGUUUUUCCUAUUAUACAUGUCUAUUAUAUUAGAU